Molecule: long non-coding RNA, 574 nt
Organism: Macrobrachium nipponense
Lineage: Eukaryota; Metazoa; Arthropoda; Malacostraca; Decapoda; Palaemonidae
Exons: 4
Source: RefSeq, a predicted model, not a curated record
GUCGUGGGUCCUGCACGACCCAAGGAGUGUUUCAAAAAACAUGUUUUUUUCCCAUAAAUUAUCACCCAUGUCCAAUGCGGGUGUAAUCGACCUGCAGACGUCUAGUAUACUGUCAGGUUUGAUGGUGAGCAGAUGUGCCAGCCCCUCUCUUCAGUGCAUCCCUAUUUUCUGAGGUACCACUAGGGUCAAGGACGACCCACAUCUUAGUAGAAAGUGCUGCGCAAGCGUGUUCGCUGCCGAAGUUGCCCAUCUAGAGACGACCACAAGAACGAACACAGCAUGUUUGCGAUGCAACGGGCCCGUCUGCCUACAGCAUCAAACUGUCUUGUGUCCGAAGUGUGUGCCUCGUACGUAGGUAGCAAAUUUGGCCGUCGCACUUGUCGUGGGUGGGGCCCUAUUUACUGUACAUAUCCAUUAGGUAGCAAAUUUGGCCGUCGCACUUGUCGUGGGUGGGGGCCCAUUUACUGUAUAUAUCAAUUAGGUAAGUUGCAUACCGCUAUAUAUUCUUGUUCUCUAUAGAAUUUGUGAUAUUCUGGUAGAUUUUCAUGCAUAAAUACCAUAUCUUAUAGUAGUU